Molecule: long non-coding RNA, 2144 nt
Organism: Chenopodium quinoa (quinoa)
Lineage: Eukaryota; Viridiplantae; Streptophyta; Magnoliopsida; Caryophyllales; Amaranthaceae
Exons: 3
Source: RefSeq, a predicted model, not a curated record
GGGAACCUAAUACAACGGAUUGCUCAAUCCGUUGGAUUAGGUCACUUUUGCCGUUGUAUUAGACCUAAUCCAACCCCACCAAAUCUGACGGUUGCUAGCCGUUGUAUUAGGUCUAAUACAACAGUUUUUGACACCUAAUACAACGGAAAAAGCCGUUGUAUUAGCUCUUAAAUGUAGUAGUGCGUAUCGCCAUUAGUCAACAGGGCUCCAAUCCCCCGUUGACACGUGUCCUUGGAACCCUACAUGGGGGACUUGUCUGUCCCACUAUAAAUAGUGGGACAAACCUCAUUAAUAGGACAUUAAAAAAUACAAACACUAUUACCGAGAAAUAUUAAUUGCGGAAUUCUCCCAAUCAGCGAGAAGAACUUCACCUUUUCCGUACUUUUUCCUCUUGUACGUAUACUAACUUGAUCGUCGGAGGCGGAGCUCCUACCAAUCGGAGUCUUCGUGAUCUUGCAGGUACAGGCAUCGGCAGCUCAGUCUUGGAAUCGUAACUCUCCCGCAGGACACCUCAGAAAACCCCGAAACAAUUAUUGCAAAAAUAAUUGUGCCUCUUCUCUUUUCCACUUCUACACACUUCCUAAAUCUUUGCAUUUUCUCUCUCCAAAAAAUCCUCAAAGUGAUUCAAUCUUUUUGAAUUCUUCUAGCACUUCGAGCUUUUUCAACUAAUUCCAGCCAAUUUCACCAGAAAUUGACGUCGCCGUCGUGACUCCUGGGAGGAAAAGUUUGCGCAAAGUGGAGGUUGUGCUAAGCAUUGCUAAGGAAUAUUGAACAUUUGUGCGCCCCGUCGCAGUUGAAGAGGUUGAGGAAGAAGAAGGCGGUGAACAAGAGAUGGCGUCUGGUAAGUUGGUUGUGCUUCACUUGUUUUAUUUUUUAUUUUGUUGCUUCUUGUUUUGACGUGCGUUGUUCUUUUAGAGGCACAAUCUGGGAAGACCAAGAGAACUGCGAUGUCUUUCAAUGAGAUGGUGGAACACGCAACGAAGAAGAAGAAACAAACUGUUUAUGAUUAGUCGGACAUCAAGGUUUUGGACGUCAAGCCUCUCCAGAUACGUACCUCUCCUCGUGCUAAGGAGAUACCACCCAAGGCACCUAAGGAUUCUGAUUACAUGGUACGCGUACCAGCUAAUUUCCUCUCAGGUACAUCUAUGUCGUCCUCCCUUUGGCCUUCUGCUGAGAAGUUGUUGUUUCCUGGUGCUGAAAAACGUUUAGAGAAAAUGACGCCAUCUAGUAUCAUUAGUGAAGCGGUGUCGCUUCAGCUCAAUGCUUUGCAGGAUCUAGUGGCGGUGCGAGGUCACUUCAUUUCUGGGGAGAAGGAAAUGAACUAUCUUCGUGCUACUGUUAGCACUAUCAACUGCUGAGGGGGAGGCGACCAAGUUAAAGAAGGCUUUAGGAGAGAAGUUGAAGCAGAUUUCUGAGUUGAAUGCUUUAUUAGAAGAGAAGGGCAAGCAGGUAUCUGAGCUGGAGGCAUCCAUAGCUGAAGUUUGUGAGGAUACGCAAAACUCCAAGUGCCUUGACCAACUGACUGCUCGUGCCAAAUUGCUGAAGCGUUUCCUCGACGGUUGUCUGAUCACUAAAGAUGCUUAGAAGGAGGUGGAUGUUUUCCUGGUGUCUUUGGGUACUGCGACGAAUCUGGCUUCAGAUAUUAAGGCUCCUAGUGAGGAUGACCGUUCUACUGCGGACUCAUUGGAAAAGGUUGAUGAUGCAGCUUUCGGUGCAAAGACCAUCGAGGCUACUACAGAAGUUGAUGCCCCUGCAGAUGUUAGGCUCCAUGCUGGUGAUACUUCUGCAAAUAUUGGCGUCAAUGCUGAUGAUGCUUGACUUUUGUUGUCUCUGCCUUUUGUCGUACUGUUGAACUUUCUGCUGCCUUGAACUAUUUCUAUUUUUGCGUACUCUUUACUGGUCGUCAUGGGACGAUCAGGUUCAUUUCCUGCUUUUUAAGUACUUUGAACAAUCUUCUAGCGCUGUAUUUUUACUAGCUGUCGUGGAACAGUCAGUCUUUUUUGCAAACUUUGUGAAUCCUGCAAAAACUUUGUGCUAUGCAUAAAAAAUGUCGUGUGUUUUAUUACUUUGAAUAUCAUGCGUACAACCUUUGUGAAAAGAAUACAAAAUUUAAACGAACUUAGGAAGUUUUUCUAAGUGCGAAU